AUGGACGUUGUGAGUUCAAUAAUCUCCUCCUUGCUGGGGAAACUCGUGGAGAUUAUUAAACAUGGAUCAUCAGAUGAACAUGCGAGCCGCCAGGAAUCGAUGGGGCACAGUCUGAAACCUGAGCUACUUGAAAUAUCUGGAUCCACUUGGUUUAGAGAGGAUUGGAAAAUAUCUGGUCCCCGAAAAUAUGUGCUGCUACUGGCAACUUUGGUAAUAACCGUAACCUACCAAGCUGGUCUGAAUUCCCCAGGGGGAUAUUGGCCGGACACUGAAUCGGAACACAGCAGGUGCCAAGGAAGCAACAAGCUCAAAUAUGUACUUUUCUUAUGCACAAAUGCAACGCCAAAUAUCACGAGAAUCAUAUCACGAGAAUCUGUAUCUUCUUCUACUGAAACGCCAAAUACCAGGAGACAAGGAAGUAACAAGCUGAAAGAUGUACCGUGGAAGGGGAGUCGGACACUUUUCUCAUGCACGGCUGUAGUAGCAUUUUGGUAUACCUGGCAAAAUCUGCUUGAAGCCCAAGUGGGGAAUCGGACAAUUAUCACAGUCACGGUUAUAAUAUGUCUUGUGUGUACCAUUGUGAUUAUGUUUAAAGCCCAAGCGGAUCGCAACCUUGCAAGCGCCUCGAGAGACUCUGAAUUGCUUUCCGUGGCAAGUUAUAAGGAGACAAUUGAACCGGAAAAUACCAGUUGUUCCGAUUCCAUGGCUGCCUUUAUUGCCGUAGCUAAAAUCCCAGCUACUUGGCUUGUCGGGUCUGCCUCUACACACCAUGCCACAGGAAACCGUGCUCUCCUCUCUGGCUUCAAAAGUGUAGAUGGUCACAACAUCCAUACGGGUGAUGGCGUGCGCAUGCCGGUCUGUGGACGUGGCUGCGUGAUUACGGAUGCCGUGGUUCUUCCCGACGUGUUGUUCGUGCCGGGGCUGAAAAAGAACAUUGUCUCGGUAAGCCAGCUCACUCAGCUUGGCUGCAGCAUUGUAUUCAAGCGUGAUGCCUGCUACAUCUCGGGUGCCACUGAUGGUACUACUAUUGGCAAAGCGCUCGUCGGAGAAAAUGGGAUGUUCAAGCUGGAAUUCCUCAAAGUCCCGCUUGUCAACUAG
This 1098-nucleotide ribosomal RNA is filed under the name Triticum aestivum (bread wheat). RNAcentral describes it as "partial small subunit ribosomal RNA". The record is from RNAcentral. Lineage: Eukaryota; Viridiplantae; Streptophyta; Magnoliopsida; Poales; Poaceae.